UGUGUCUCGUCGCCACUCUCUCUUUCAAUUUAAUUUCAAUUUAAGGGCUUUAUUGGCAUGGUAAACAUAUGUUUACAUUGUCAAAGCAAGUGAAAUAAAUCAUAAACAAAAGUGAAAUAAACAAUACAAAUGAACAGUAAACAUUACACUCAUAAAAGUUACAAAAGAACAAAGACAUUUCAAAUGUCAUAUUAUGUGCAAAUAGUUAAAGUACAAAAGGGAAAAUAAAUAAACAUAAAUAUGGUUUGUAUUUACAAUGGUGUUUGUUCUUCACUGGUUGACCUUUUCUUGUGGCAACAGGUCACAAAUCUUGCUGCUGUGAUGGCACACUGGUAUUUCACCCAAAUUAUAUGGGAGUUUGUCAAAAUUGGGCUUGUUUUCAAAUUCUUUGUGGGUUUCUGUAAUUUGAGGUUAAUAUGUGUCUCUAAUAUGGUCAUACAUUGGGCAGGAGGCUAGGAAGUGCAACUCAGUUUCCACCUCAUUUUGUGGGCAGUGAGCACAUAGCCUGUUUUCCCUUGAGAGUCAGGUCUGCCUAUGGCGGCCUUUCUCAAUAGCAAGGCUAUGCUCACUCAGUCUCUAUAUAGUCAAAUCUUUCCUUAAGUUUGGGUCAGUCACAGUGGUCAGGUAUUCUGCCACUGUGCACUCUCUGUCUAGGGCCAAAUAGCAUUCUAGUUUGCUCUGUUUUUUUGUUAGUUCUUUCCAAUGUGUCAAGUAAUUAUCUGUUUAUUUCUCAUGAUUUGGUUGGGUCUAAUUGUGUUGCUGAUCUGGGGCUCUGUGGGGUAUGUUUGUGUUUGUGAACAGAGCCCCAGGACCAGCUUGAUUAAGGGACUCUUCUCCAGGUUCAUCUCCCUGUAGGUGAUGGCUUUGUUUUGGAAGGUUUGGGAAUCGCUUCCUUUUAGGUGGUUUUAGAAUUUAACGUCUCUUUUCUGGAUUUUUAUAAUUAGCAGGUAUCAGCCUAAUUCUGCUCUGCAUACAUUAUUUGGUGUUUUAUGUUGUACACUGAGG
Molecule: long non-coding RNA, 1005 nt
Organism: Oncorhynchus tshawytscha (Chinook salmon)
Lineage: Eukaryota; Metazoa; Chordata; Actinopteri; Salmoniformes; Salmonidae
Source: Ensembl